Molecule: long non-coding RNA, 1352 nt
Filed under: Carassius auratus (goldfish)
Lineage: Eukaryota; Metazoa; Chordata; Actinopteri; Cypriniformes; Cyprinidae
Description: lncRNA (ENSCARG00000060294.1)
Source: RNAcentral
CAUAUUACUCACAAAAGCAAGUAUGUGAUGACGAUAAACAGCUCUCUGAGCCCCUGAAGGCCCCGGUCCCAAGCACAUCAGACUUACCUCAACCAAGCAUGAAUAAAGGACCUUUUAAUAAGAGCUGAGAGAUUUGAAAAAGUGAAAGUGUGACACUUCAAAAUGUUCAUAAAGAGGUCACAGCAUGGGGUUUGGGUCAAAGUUAAGGAUGUACCCUGCUGGGUGGUUACAGACAGUCCUUCUCUUCUCCUGUGAUUGCCAUUGAAGAGCAAUCAGACUCCAGCCGACUCCAACUGAUUUAACUGUGAACCUCUGUCUGGCUUCACGCUAGCACGCACAUGAACGUACUCCUACCUACACACACACUAUAAACGAGAAGACUUGUGACAUGACAAACUUGUACAUUUGUGUACAUUGUCAUAUUUGGCAGAUGUUUUUACAUGGAUGAAUAAGAUAAAAGACUACAGAUAUAAGAGGGUAAUUUACCUAACAAGGCCUUAGCCACAGUUAACAACAUAUGUAUUCUUCUCCUUUGAAACAAAGGGGACCUACCCACUAAUUCAGACAAAGUGUGUGUGAAGAAACAGGUCACAAAUCGAGAUGCAGCACGGUAUACAGUAACACAAUGCCGGCUAAAUUACACUUGUUUUCUGACAAAUACCAAGCUUGUGUGCUGAAUUUAAUUUCUGUCUGAAUCCAUAUCUGUGAUUUAAGAGAAGUCGAUUCAAAAUUCCCUGUUUAAAGGCACAGUAUGACAUUUUCGCCGCUAGAGGGCGCAUCUUCAAAACAAACUAAGAAACAAAGGCGUGGUUUGAUGACGCAGUGACUGAGUGUGGAAUCAUGGGAGUUGUGGUCUUCAUGCACAGUCGACAAAAAGAAGAAAGAGAAGAAAAGCAUGUAAUCAUUUGAAAUGUGUCAUUAUUAUGGCAGGUAUACAAUUUAAAAAUAAGUAUAAUAUACAUAAAAAUAUAAACUAAGCAGCUUAAUGAUUACAUUAGUAAAUUAGAGGUUGUAUUAUCUUAUUUCUGCUUAUCUCCACAGUUUUAAUGAAAUCCAUCAUUUUGAGAGAUAUGCAACACAGGGUGCCUGUUAAGACCUGGCUAGGGACAACAGAUGGAAACUAGCACUUGUAGCUAACUCUGGCUUGUUUACAGCAAGUAACUUGUUUGUUGAUCAAUGAGCAUUGUCCCUAUGAAAUAAAUAAAUUAAAUAAAUAUAGCGUGUCUAUUUUCUUAUUCUUAAGCAGGAGAUUUAAAUAAUCAAAUAAUAAAUAGAAUAUUAGGUUCCUAUUAUUACAUCAAAUAUGAAUUUAUUCUCAUUAUUCCAAGCAUAUGCCAUUUUAUAAACAGCAG